UACGGAGGAUGCAAGCGUUAUCCGGAUUCAUUGGGUUUAAAGGGUGCGCAGGUUGUUUGAUAAGUCAGUGGUGAAAGUCUGUCGCUUAACGGUAGGAUUGCCAUUGAUACUGUUAGACUUGAAUAUGGAUGAGGUAGGCGGAAUGUGUAGUGUAGCGGUGAAAUGCAUAGAUAUUACGCAGAACACCGAUUGCGAAGGCAGCUUACUAAUCCAUCAUUGACGCUGAGGCACGAAAGCGUGGGGAUCAAA
This 249-nucleotide ribosomal RNA is filed under the name uncultured prokaryote. RNAcentral describes it as "partial 16S ribosomal RNA". It matches the Rfam family "Bacterial small subunit ribosomal RNA", at positions 524 to 772 of the family's 1533-position model. The record is from RNAcentral.